This 653-nucleotide ribosomal RNA is filed under the name uncultured Proteinivoraceae bacterium. Its description in RNAcentral is "bacterial SSU rRNA". It matches the Rfam family "Bacterial small subunit ribosomal RNA", at positions 79 to 750 of the family's 1533-position model. The record is from RNAcentral. Lineage: Bacteria; Bacillati; Bacillota; Clostridia; Eubacteriales; Proteinivoracaceae.
AGUUGAGUGCCGGAUAGUGGCGGACGGGUGAGUAACACGUGGGCAACCUGCCCUACAGCCUGGGAUACCAUCGGGAAACUGAUGUUAAUACCGGAUACGCUCUUUUGAUCGCAUGAUCUAAGGAGGAAAGAUUUAUCGCUGUAGGAUGGGCCCGCGGUCCAUUAGCUAGUUGGUAGGGUAACGGCCUACCAAGGCGACGAUGGAUAGCUGGUCUGAGAGGACGAUCAGCCACACUGGGACUGAGACACGGCCCAGACUCCUACGGGAGGCAGCAGUGGGGAAUAUUGCGCAAUGGGGGCAACCCUGACGCAGCAAUGCCGCGUGAAGGAUGAAGGCUUUCGAGUCGUAAACUUCUGUCUAGAGGGAUGAAUAAUGACAGUACCUCUGGAGGAAGCCCCGGCUAACUACGUGCCAGCAGCCGCGGUAAUACGUAGGGGGCAAGCGUUGUCCGGAAUCACUGGGCGUAAAGCGCGCGUAGGUGGUCUAGUAAGUCAGAUGUUAAAAUGCGGGGCUCAACCCCGUAAUGCAUUUGAAACUGCUGGACUUGAGGACAGGAGAGGAAAGUGGAAUUCCUAGUGUAGCGGUGAAAUGCGUAGAUAUUAGGAGGAACACCAGUGGCGAAGGCGACUUUCUGGACUGUACCUGACACUGAG